Molecule: ribosomal RNA, 253 nt
Filed under: uncultured bacterium
Lineage: Bacteria
Description: partial 16S ribosomal RNA
Rfam family: Bacterial small subunit ribosomal RNA
Source: RNAcentral
UACGUAGGGCGCAAGCGUUAUCCGGAAUUAUUGGGCGUAAAGGGCUCGUAGGCGGUUUGUCGCGUCGGGAGUGAAAACCUCGGGCUUAACUCGGGGCUUGCUUUCGAUACGGGCAGACUGGAGGUAUGCAGGGGAGAACGGAAUUCCUGGUGUAGCGGUGAAAUGCGCAGAUAUCAGGAGGAACACCGGUGGCGAAGGCGGUUCUCUGGGCAUGACCUGACGCUGAGGAGCGAAAGUGUGGGGAGCGAACAGG